UGCAUGUCUAAGUAUAAGCGUUAUACAGUGAAACUGCGAAUGGCUCAUUAAAUCAGUUAUCGUUUAUUUGAUAUUGCCUUACUACUUGGAUAUCCGUGGUAAUUCUAGAGCUAAUACAUGCUUCGCCCCUCGGGGCGUAUUUAUUAGAUAAAAAUCAGCUUAUUGAUGAUUCAUAAUAACUCUCGAACCGCAUGGGGCGGUGGUUCAUUCAAAUUUCUGCCCUAUCAACUGUCGAUGGUAGGAUAGUGGCCUACCAUGGUUUCAACGGGUAACGGGGAAUAAGGGUUCGAUUCCGGAGAGGGAGCCUGAGAAACGGCUACCACAUCCAAGGAAGGCAGCAGGCGCGCAAAUUACCCAAUCCUAAUACAGGGAGGUAGUGACAAUAAAUAACGAUGCUGGGCCGUUUCGGUCUAGCAAUUGGAAUGAGUACAAUGUAAAUACCUUAACGAGGAACAAUUGGAGGGCAAGUCUGGUGCCAGCAGCCGCGGUAAUUCCAGCUCCAAAAGCGUAUAUUAAAGUUGUUGCAGUUAAAAAGCUCGUAGUUGGCCCUUGGGCGCGGCAGCAGGUCCGCGCAAGCGAGUACUGACCUGGCGCGCCUUUCCUCCCGGCAACGGGACGUUUACUUUGAAA
Molecule: ribosomal RNA, 630 nt
Filed under: Diutina scorzettiae
Lineage: Eukaryota; Fungi; Ascomycota; Pichiomycetes; Serinales; Debaryomycetaceae
Description: SSU rRNA
Rfam family: Eukaryotic small subunit ribosomal RNA
Source: RNAcentral